RNAcentral lists this ribosomal RNA (402 nucleotides) under uncultured bacterium. RNAcentral describes it as "bacterial SSU rRNA". It matches the Rfam family "Bacterial small subunit ribosomal RNA", at positions 355 to 774 of the family's 1533-position model. The record is from RNAcentral.
UGGGGGAUAUUGCACAAUGGGCGAAAGCCUGAUGCAGCGACGCCGCGUGAGGGAAGACGGUUUUCGGAUUGUAAACCUCUGUCUUCGGGGACGAUAAUGACGGUACCCGAGGAGGAAGCACCGGCUAACUACGUGCCAGCAGCCGCGGUAAUACGUAGGGUGCAAGCGUUGUCCGGAAUUACUGGGUGUAAAGGGUGCGUAGGCUGUUAUGUAAGUCAGCGGUGAAAUACCUAAGCUCAACUUAGGGGCUGCCGUUGAUACUGCAUAGCUGGAAUAUGGUUGCUGUUGGCGGAAUGUGUAGUGUAGCGGUGAAAUGCAUAGAUAUUACACAGAACACCUAUUGCGAAGGCAGCUGACAAAACCAUUAUGGGCGCUGAGGCACGAAAGUGUGGGGAUCAAACA